RNAcentral lists this ribosomal RNA (420 nucleotides) under uncultured eukaryote. RNAcentral's name for it is "partial 18S ribosomal RNA". It matches the Rfam family "Eukaryotic small subunit ribosomal RNA", at positions 1470 to 1796 of the family's 1831-position model. The record is from RNAcentral.
CCCUUAGUUAUCCUAGGUCGCACGCGCCAUACAAUGUGGCGCACAACGAGUCUCCUUGGCCGACAGGAUGUCCCGCGAGCGAUCGGCGACGCAGCCCGCUCGGUCUUCGGGCAGACUCGGUGAGAGUGGCCCGUCCUCCUGAGAGGGCGAUCGUCGAUGCCUCGGGAUUCUGGGCAAUCUGGCAGAGCGCUACGUGACUGGGCUAGACUUUUGUAAUUUUUGGUCUUGAACGAGGAAUGCCUAGUAAUCGCAGGUCAGCAUCCUGCGAUGAUUCGGUCCCUGCCCUUUGUACACACCGCCCGUCGCUCCAUCCGUGGCAUGCGCCGGUGAAGAGGGGGAGGCAGCGUCGGCCGUGUAACAGCGGAUCGUACGUGGAACCCCUCUGAACCUUCGCACGUAGAGGAAGGAGAAGUCGUAACA